RNAcentral lists this transfer RNA (72 nucleotides) under Candidatus Aenigmatarchaeota archaeon. RNAcentral describes it as "tRNA-Val". It matches the Rfam family "tRNA". From Rfam's summary of the family: Transfer RNA (tRNA) molecules are approximately 80 nucleotides in length. The record is from RNAcentral. Lineage: Archaea; Nanobdellati; Candidatus Aenigmatarchaeota.
GGGCCUGUGGUCCAAUGGUACGACGUCGCUUUCACACGGCGAAGGUUGCAGGUUCGAUUCCUGCCGGGCCCA